RNAcentral lists this ribosomal RNA (57 nucleotides) under Heyndrickxia coagulans DSM 1 = ATCC 7050. RNAcentral describes it as "Bacillus coagulans DSM 1 = ATCC 7050 23S rRNA. Bacterial LSU". Lineage: Bacteria; Bacillati; Bacillota; Bacilli; Caryophanales; Bacillaceae. The record is from RNAcentral.
GUGGAAGCGCGGUGACGCGUGCAGCUGACGGAUACUAAUCGAUCGAGGACUUAACCA